This 301-nucleotide ribosomal RNA is filed under the name uncultured bacterium. Its description in RNAcentral is "partial 16S ribosomal RNA". It matches the Rfam family "Bacterial small subunit ribosomal RNA", at positions 509 to 807 of the family's 1533-position model. The record is from RNAcentral.
CAGUCGCCGCGGUAAUACGAAGGGUGCAAGCGUUACUCGGAAUUACUGGGCGUAAAGCGUGCGUAGGUGGUGGUUUAAGUCCGUUGUGAAAGCCCUGGGCUCAACCUGGGAAUUGCAGUGGAUACUGGGUCACUAGAGUGUGGUAGAGGAUAGUGGAAUUUCCGGUGUAGCAGUGAAAUGCGUAGAGAUGUGGAGGAACACCGAUGGCGAAGGCGACUAUCUGGGCCAACACUGACACUGAGGCACGAAAGCGUGGGGAGCAAACAGGAUUAGAUACCCCAGUAGUCCCUGUCUCUUAUAC